GACGAACGCUGGCGGCGUGCCUAACACAUGCAAGUCGAGGGUUUUAGUAGUAAUACGAAGAACACUGGCGCACGGGUGAGUAACGCGUAGAUCAUCUGCCCCUAACACUGACAUAACAGUUCUAACGGACUGCUAAUAUCAGAUGUGAUAAGCAAUUAUUAAAGGGUAACCGGUUAGGGAUGAGUCUGCGUCUGAUUAGGUAGUUGGUGAGGUAACGGCUCACCAAGCCUACGAUCAGUAACUGGUCUGAGAGGACGAACAGUCACACUGGAACUGAGACACGGUCCAGACUCCUACGGGAGGCAGCAGUGAGGAAUAUUGCACAAUGGGCGAAAGCCUGACGCAGCCAUACCGCGUGUGUGAAGAAGGCCUGG
RNAcentral lists this ribosomal RNA (374 nucleotides) under uncultured bacterium. RNAcentral describes it as "bacterial SSU rRNA". It matches the Rfam family "Bacterial small subunit ribosomal RNA", at positions 28 to 419 of the family's 1533-position model. The record is from RNAcentral.